AACGAACGCUGGCGGCAGGCUUAACACAUGCAAGUCGAGCGCCCCGCAAGGGGAGCGGCAGACGGGUGAGUAACGCGUGGGAAUCUACCUUUUGCUACGGAAUAACGCAGGGAAACUUGUGCUAAUACCGUAUGCGUCCUUCGGGAGAAAGAUUUAUCGGCAAGAGAUGAGCCCGCGUUGGAUUAGCUAGUUGGUGGGGUAAAGGCCUACCAAGGCGACGAUCCAUAGCUGGUCUGAGAGGAUGAUCAGCCACAUUGGGACUGAGACACGGCCCAAACCCCUACGGGAGGCAGCAGUGGGGAAUAUUGGACAAUGGGCGCAAGCCUGAUCCAGCCAUGCCGCGUGAGUGAUGAAGGCCCUAGGGUUGUAAAGCUCUUUCACCGGAGAAGAUAAUGACGGUAUCCGGAGAAGAAGCCCCGGCUAACUUCGUGCCAGCCGCCGCGGUAA
Molecule: ribosomal RNA, 447 nt
Filed under: uncultured Hyphomicrobiales bacterium
Lineage: Bacteria; Pseudomonadati; Pseudomonadota; Alphaproteobacteria; Hyphomicrobiales
Description: bacterial SSU rRNA
Rfam family: Bacterial small subunit ribosomal RNA
Source: RNAcentral